UACGUAGGCAGCGAGCGUUGUUCGGAGUUACUGGGCGUAAAGGGUGUGUAGGCGGUUAUUUAAGUUUGGUGUGAAAUCUCCCGGCUCAACUGGGAGGGUGCGCCGAAUACUGAAUGACUUGGAGUGCGGGAGAGGAAAGUGGAAUUCCUGGUGUAGCGGUGAAAUGCGUAGAUAUCAGGAGGAACACCGGUGGUGUAGACGGCUUUCUGGACCGUAACUGACGCUGAGACACGAAAGCGUGGGUAGCAAACAGG
RNAcentral lists this ribosomal RNA (254 nucleotides) under uncultured bacterium. RNAcentral describes it as "partial 16S ribosomal RNA". It matches the Rfam family "Bacterial small subunit ribosomal RNA", at positions 524 to 776 of the family's 1533-position model. The record is from RNAcentral.